UACGGGGGGGGUAAGCGUUGUUCGGAAUUACUGGGCGUAAAGGGCUCGUAGGCGGUCCAUCGCGUCGGGAGUGAAAAGCUGGGGCUUAACCCCAGUCCUGCUUCCGAUACGGGUGGACUAGAGGUAGGUAGGGGAGAACGGAAUUCCCGGUGUAGUGGUGAAAUGCGUAGAUAUCGGGAGGAACACCAGUGGCGAAGGCGGCUUUCUGGCCCAUUCUUGACGCUGAGGCGCGAAAGCUAGGGUAGCAAACGGG
RNAcentral lists this ribosomal RNA (253 nucleotides) under uncultured bacterium. Its description in RNAcentral is "partial 16S ribosomal RNA". It matches the Rfam family "Bacterial small subunit ribosomal RNA", at positions 524 to 776 of the family's 1533-position model. The record is from RNAcentral.